UCUAUCUGCACUUCAGUGCAUGCUAAACUCC
RNAcentral lists this non-coding RNA (31 nucleotides) under Mus musculus (house mouse). The record is from RNAcentral. Lineage: Eukaryota; Metazoa; Chordata; Mammalia; Rodentia; Muridae.